CGGGAUAGCUCAGUUGGUAGAGCAGAGGACUGAAAAUCCUCGUGUCAC
Molecule: transfer RNA, 48 nt
Filed under: Leptodon smithii
Lineage: Eukaryota; Viridiplantae; Streptophyta; Bryopsida; Hypnales; Leptodontaceae
Also listed under: 1 other name
Description: partial transfer RNA-Phe
Source: RNAcentral